This 397-nucleotide ribosomal RNA is filed under the name uncultured bacterium. RNAcentral describes it as "partial 16S ribosomal RNA". It matches the Rfam family "Bacterial small subunit ribosomal RNA", at positions 523 to 918 of the family's 1533-position model. The record is from RNAcentral.
AUACGUAGGGGGCGAGCGUUGUCCGGAAUGAUUGGGCGUAAAGGGCGCGUAGGCGGCGCGGUAAGUCUGGAGUGAAAGUCCUGCUUUCAAGGUGGGAAUUGCUUUGGAUACUGCCGCGCUUGAGUGCAGGAGAGGUUAUCGGAAUUCCCGGUGUAGCGGUGAAAUGCGUAGAGAUCGGGAGGAACACCAGUGGCGAAGGCGGGUAACUGGACUGCAACUGACGCUGAGGCGCGAAAGUGUGGCGAGCAAACAGGAUUAGAUACCCUGGUAGUCCACACUGUAAACGAUGAAUGCUAGGUGUAAGAGGUAUCGACCCCUUUUGUGCCGGAGUCAACACAAUAAGCAUUCCGCCUGGGGAGUACGGCCGCAAGGUUGAAACUCAAAUGAAUUGACGGGG